RNAcentral lists this transfer RNA (76 nucleotides) under marine sediment metagenome. RNAcentral's name for it is "tRNA-Gly". It matches the Rfam family "tRNA". From Rfam's summary of the family: Transfer RNA (tRNA) molecules are approximately 80 nucleotides in length. Their secondary structure includes four short double-helical elements and three loops (D, anti-codon, and T loops). The record is from RNAcentral.
GCACCAUUAGCUCAUUUGGAAGAGCGUCAGAUUUCCAAUCUGAAGGCGGUCGGAUCGUAGCCGACAUGGUGCUCCA